Molecule: transfer RNA, 76 nt
Filed under: [Bacillus] caldolyticus
Lineage: Bacteria; Bacillati; Bacillota; Bacilli; Caryophanales; Anoxybacillaceae
Also listed under: 36 other names
Description: tRNA-Ala
Rfam family: tRNA
About the family: Transfer RNA (tRNA) molecules are approximately 80 nucleotides in length. Their secondary structure includes four short double-helical elements and three loops (D, anti-codon, and T loops).
Source: RNAcentral
GGGGCCUUAGCUCAGCUGGGAGAGCGCCUGCUUUGCAAGCAGGAGGUCAUCGGUUCGAUCCCGAUAGGCUCCACCA